This is a long non-coding RNA of Halichondria panicea, 8784 nucleotides long. RefSeq lists it as uncharacterized. The record is from RefSeq and is a predicted model, not a curated record. Lineage: Eukaryota; Metazoa; Porifera; Demospongiae; Suberitida; Halichondriidae. The transcript is spliced from 3 exons.
CUUGCCAAGUUCUACUAUGUUAUGAACACCGCAGUUGAAAUAAGAAGCCAUCUGUUAACAGAGAUGCGUAAUAAUAAUAUGCUGCAUGUAAAAUGUACUUAUUCUACGUUAGUUCAAUGCGCCAUGAUAAUUAAUUUUCAUUAUUUUAAGUCUUUUUGGGCUUGACAGUGUAGUACCCUCUGCGUAUGAUGUAUCUCCUUUAAACCGUAUCUCCUUUAAACCCCCCCCCCCAUCUGUGUAAGUAAAGUACUUACUGUAUAGUGAAGAUUACUUUGUGCACCUGUGAACUCGUAACACUUGUUCGCCCCCACCUACAAAUUUGACAUUGGUCAAAUUGGUCUAAUAAUAUUUGAUUAACUCUUAUGUUGAGAAACACGAAUGCGAAUAUAAUUAUAGACUGUGAUGAGUUGUGUCUCUUAGCCUGGGAAUGUAAUGUGUACCUUUUAAGUGUGGUAGUGUGGUAUUGUAGAGACUGGAUUUAUUUUGAUUCAUUAUUUUGUUGAAUCAAUCAAUAAAAUUAUAUGUGCGUUUAUCAAUACUGUGUUAUUAUACAUAUAAUUAUACUAGCCUCUACACAGGCUCUCCUUUUUCUGUUCUUUAUCACAAUCGUUCAAUAAGAUAAAAUACUGUAUUAUUGGUUCAAUGAGAUAAAAUACGGUAUUAAUUGGAGGAAUAAAGAAAGAAAUAGACGUAGAGUUAGGAAAAAGGAGAGCCUGUAUCGGGAAGUCGCGUGAGGGUAGAAGGGUGAAAAUGAGCGUGGGCAUGCUGAGCUAGAGGAUGUUGGACUGCCCACGCAGAGGUCUACGACUAAUAAAACUUUGCCUGCAGCAAGCUGGACAUAGACUUGGAACUGGAAGUUUGCAGGCACUAGCUAGCUAUACCUUAGGCUUGGCUAGAUGAUCUACUAGUCUAGAUUGUGUGUUUAGAUUCUAUCACUAUUACCUGUUCUUGUGUCUUUCUACAUGCUAUAGUAGAAUAGCAUAGUCAUCAUUAUCAUAUAGCAGGUAGCUACUGCCACCAGAGCUGGCCACACUGGUUCUCUGAUCUGACUUGCAGCACAGCUUGGUGCAGGUGGUUGUCUCAGUGCAAGUACAGUACAGUCUUACUCUGAAUACGUGGGAGAAUACCUACGUCAAGAUUGUGGGCUACAUAUUGCCCACGUUCAUAAAAAUCCUUGUGGAUCACGCGAUUUCCCAAACCAGGCCUUACUUUUUCUUAACUGUACGCCCAUUUCUUUCUUUGCUGCCUCACUAUGUCUUUCUUGGAUGAACAGUGACAACAGCAAGAAAAAGUAAGGCCUGGGAACGAGGCUAUAAUUAUACAUUGCUUCAUUUACGCUAUUAUUAUUAUGCUGUGCUAUAUUAUUAUACUUACCAAAUUCACUUGAGAGAGAUGCAGCAGCAGCAAGUAUAUUCCAGACUACAGACUACAGAAACUCUUUGCAUAAAAGGUGCUCUUAGCGCGCGCGAGCGGAUUUCCCUUCUUGUAGGGGAAGUUCCCCCUAACCGUGUGCAAAAUGGUGGAUAAAAGCUGUAUACGGAGACUUAAGUACAUGCUUUUGCUCUAUUUAGCAGGUAGUACUAAGCAAGUUAAAAGUAUAUCUACUGCGUUGGUUACCUAGAAAGGCUCAAGGGAUUUAUUGACAGUGCAUGGUUUUAGCUGUAUAGCUGCUUUUAUUGUUACCUAGUAUGAACGGUAGCUCAGAAAAGCUUACAAGCACACUGUAAAUUAAUUUUCUAAGAGUAUGUGAUCCUAAAACCCGGUACCCGGUACUCCGUAGCUUCAUCUUCUUAUCCGCAUUUUAUAUUGAUUGUGUGCGUAUACUAGCUAUGUUAUACGCUAUGUAUACUAGCUAUUGAUCCCGCCCCAGUACUAAAUUAAAUUAUAUAAUAUGUUAGACUCAACAGAAUCUGCAUUCUUCACUGAACAAAUUGGUAUAUGUUACUUUGAAUAAAAAUAAAUAAAUAAACUAAAAAAAUAGGAAAAACAAUAUACCGUAAAAAUGUUCUCGAAAGGUGAUGACCCAGUCCUUAAUGUACCUGAGUAGCUCUUAGCUCUAAGAAAUAAAGCCCCGCCCACUAAUUAAUCAGUGGGGUAGUCACGAGAGCCUAAAGACAGGAAUAUGUCCAAGACAGGAAUAUGUCCAUGACUUUGACCUUAUAAUUAUGUGAUGUGGGGGCGGCUCCCAGCUCCAAACUUUAAAUCUUCACUAGAUCUAGUGCAGAUCCAUACAAAUUUCCCAACAUGUUGUAAGACUAUUGAAAUUAAUACAGCAAACAUUGUUUUAUUGCACAAAAAACAAUCAUUAUGGUGAAAGAACAUUCUGCCAUUUGUGUUCGCCUCUUCACUUAUGAGUGCCUCGGUCCAAGGACAUGCUACAAUAGCAGUAGAACUCCACUCAAAAUUUGAAUAUGUAUACUCAGUGUAGCACAAGCCACACAGUAACAUGGGUAAAGAACAUGGGUAAAGAAUCCAGAGUGAACGACAGACUCUUUGUAGACCAAGACGUUGCUGAUCUCAAGGAGUUGCUGAUCUCAAGGAUUGCUUUCACUUGUACAGUACGGCCUGGGAAAUGAGAUAGUAUUACAAGUGAGAUACUAAAGUGGAGUACAUGGACAUAUAGCGGAAAAGAAGAAACAAGAGUGAAGGUGGUGCAAAGGGUCUGUCUUUACAAACAAGCGUUACUAAUACUAGAUCUACAUCAGACAUGUAUCUAUACCAUACCAUGUACCAGCCAGCUAUUGUGUAUACUGCAUGUACUGCACUGAGAUGAUAUAAUAUAAUUAUAAUUUUUUAGACUAGAGUCUUCCUAAUUUUAUCUUACAAUUUUAUCUUACUUGUGCCAUAGAUAGUAGAGGGUACAAUGUUCACCGACUGCAGUCUGUUCCCCCUAGCCCCAGACCCUAGCUAGCUAGCUCUCAUCUCUCAAGCUCUGAAGAAAUGUGUAUACUGCACUGAGAUCAUAUAAUUAUAAUUUUAUAGACUAGACAGGGGGAGGUCACUACUAUGCACACUGCACUACCGUUCGCUACCGCGGUCAAGAUGUGGUCAAAGGGUCAAGGGGGUAUUUUCAAGGGGUCAACAAGGUAAAUACCCUAGUGAAAAUUCCUGGCAAUAGUUUGCAUUAUCUUACAAGGUAUUUCAAAUUGUUCAGAGGUUUAUCAUGACAAGAUUUUGUGUUACAAAAUCUUGUACAACCAUUCAUAUGAUUUAGCAAGACAAUGCAUGUGAACCCUUCACAUUAUUCGUAGUGGAUAAUACGUUUACACUUUAUAUAGGCCCGCCUAUUAAACUGAUAUAAAUAAUGAAAGAGAAUUGAGAGUGAUGAUUGUGAUGAUUGUGUUCUAUGGCACAUAGUAGUUUAUUCUAUAGUCUAGUCUUUGACCUCGUCCUGGAUGCGAUCGGUCCAUCAGGUCCAUCAUCAUCAUCAUCAUCUACAUGAUCAAUUUCUACAGUAUUAUUCAUAUAUACAUUAAAAUGUUAUGUUUACCUGCUGAAAUUGGACGGGGCGCCGGAGUUUCAGGAAUUUGGGUGACACCAUUUUCCACUACAAAUAAUUUGUAGGUUGCUACAGACUUACUUUGAAUUUGUUGAUUCCUUGGCAUGUUGAUGUAUGCCUGCGCAUGAUGCUCCAUCAUGCGCACCGCAACUUUAGCAUAUCUCACUACUGCGGGAUAUGUUGUGAUGACAUAGGGUAGUUUGGGGUCUGCCAUGCUUACAGUUUGCCAUGCUUACAGUUGAGCUGAUGAUGAGUGCAAUGCUCAAUUAAGGCUUUACUUGUUAAAAAGGUGUCUAUGUUGCUGUAUAAACAAUUACCCACAACAAUUAAUUACCCUCUGACUGAAUCAUGUCAAUAACAAAUUAAAUUAAUGGUAUUCAUAAUUGUUUGGUAUUUGGUAUUUUGACAAUAAAGGUGUGGCAGGUGCUUACAAAAAUACAUUUAGACCGGAGUGCUUUCAACUGAACUGCUCUAGCAGGUAGUAUGUCCUUUUCAAUUAGUAUGUCCUUUUCAACUUUAACAAUAAAUGUACUUAGGAGGUCAACUGACUGAUGCAUUUCUAAACUUGGUCUGCCUGGCAUACCAGCCUCCAACAGUAGCGAGCCGGACCUGGCUUGAGAAUAACAAUUGGUACAUUAUCCACAAGGCAGAAUUUUAAAAUCGAUCUGUACUGCUCGUACUGCUCCUCUCCUUCAGCACAGAAUGUGCACAUUGUACUGUUCCGUUUAGUUUUGUGCUGACCAUACUCAGUUGAAUAAAAUAAAGUUUUGUUGUGGUGAUAUAAGCUGCAGAUUCGGCCCUGUUAUAGAUAUAAUGGCACUUCUAAAUUCGAGGGAGAGAGUUGUUAGGUUGAUUGGUCCAACAACAUAUGUAGAGGGCAGUAUUUGCUUUCCUAUAUUGUGUUCGGAUUCAUCAAUAGACAAAAAUGAUAGGGUUUGUUCAGUUUCGGUUGAUAACAGCUUAGAAUGUGAUAACAGCUUAGAAUGUAGCGAGUUCAGAGUUUCCUUCAAGUUCAGUGAGAAUACUAGUUGGUCUGCCAAUCUGUACGUACCAUGUAAAUAUCUCAUUAAAUGAAUUAAAUGACCAUUCAUGCUUUCAAAUCCAAAUGCUGAAAAUGCCCAGAGAGGUCCCCACUGCCUCACUUGCCUCACUUGCUGACAGAGAUGUAUCAGUAAAUGAGUGUUCAGUACACAGUUUCUUUCACCAUACAGUUCCGGAAAAAGUAGAACAAAAAAAAGUAGAACAAAAUCCUCUAACAUUUCCCCUGCUGCAUCGACUUGAGUUAGAGUAAGCUUAGGUUGUAACAGGAUGUGUAAAGCAGUAACAAGGAGGGCAUAGUGGUGCAAGUAGAGAGGAGGGAGAUGUGGUACAAGUAAUGGUAGAUGUGGUACAAGUAAUGGUAGAGAAUAAUAUAGCAACCAAUUUCGAUACUCUUUUCCAGUGACUCCGGUGUUUUUGUAUGCUUCGUGGAGCUCUGGUGAAGUCAUGAGGGGGUCUUUGUUUGAUUAAUGAAGAGUCUAUGAUAUUUAAAUGACGGCCUAAAUAGAAAGGAGUCCACAAACACCUUCCAAAACGCAGUGCAUAUAAUCAAUAGGAGCACCAAGAGGCAAAUCCACAAUUUUUGAAAGCGUACUUGUGCCUUUGAUACCAAAAACUUUCCGGCCUUCCAGCUCAGUUGUUGUUCUUAGGGCAUGUUCCGUUCCUGGCAAAUACACACGUGUACUACAAUACGUAUCGACUCACCACCUGAGACAAUUUCAAUCAUAUCAGGGCAGCUACCAACAUCCAUAUCAACUCUAGUGGAUUUUAAUGAACUUAUUGAUUCCAUUCUAGGACCUCUCACUCCAUAAGCACUGAGCUCUCAAAUGCAGACAUGGAUGAAGCAUAUGCAUGAAGCAUAUGCUAACAUAAUCACAGAUGUUUCACUUGAAAGUCAAUCAGCUGAACAUCCAACUCCAAUCACAGCCUCACUAAAGGAUUACAACCAUAAAGAGAAAAACCAUCAAAAGAUAGAUCUCGUCGCUUCGCUGCUGGUACAAUCCCCUUCAAUAAGGAGCUACCCUCAGAACACGAUGUAUUUCUGUAUGACUUUUGGACAAUUCUCCCUGCAAUGCAAACAGAGUGCUGUGCUCAGCUAAGGUGUUUCUUUUGGGCCAGAUAUGUUCAGAGUUGGGAAAGUCAGUUUCCAGCUCCAUUAAAACUAAUUCAGUAGUUAUCAAUUUGUUCGAAUUUACUGAUAGCGACACAUUUAAGCUUACUGAAGGCUUCAAAAUUUCUGCUAUUUAAUGUGAACACCAAGGUAUCAGGUUCAGUCUACAACACCAUGCUGAUUUAGACAUACAGGCUCGAGACAUACAGGCUCGAGACCAGAAAAUGACCCAUACUUGUAGAAAAAAUCAUAUCAAAGCGCUUCAAUGUUCAGUACCUUGUAAAAAUGGCUUGGGUAUGCUUCGGCAGACAACACAUGGGAACUUCCAACAAAAUUAAUAUUCAACAAAUAUUCCAAGAGACAUACUCGAUUCAUUUGAACAAACACAACUGACUGGAACUUCCACAACUGAUGGAGCGAGUACACACGCAGAGUGACAAGCAAACCUGUAAAUCAGUAACUUUUCGAGUCACCAAUCAGCUGUCAUGGAUAAUUAUAGAUAAAUGACAUGUUGUACAAUUUGUGUCAAUGAAAAUCUCUUUUCUUGAGCUACCUGUUCAUGUAGUGGAUCCACUGGACCAGCAUGUACACCCUUGCAUUGCAUUGCAUGAUAGACAUGAAUAGUGCAGUCUGUUGCGGCGAUAAGAGCUUAAUUUUUUGCGGUCAAGCAUAAUAUCUAAGGCUGGUCAAGCAGUCAAGAAGAAAAUUGGGGGGUCAAGAAUCUUGACGGUAGUGUUCCUAAUUUUAUCUUACUUGUGCCAUAGAUAGUAGACGGUACAAUGUUCACCACAAGGAGGCUUGCAGUCUGCCUAACUAGCUAGCUAGCUAGCUCUCAUCUCAAGUACCAUUUGCAAUUUUAUUUGCAAGGUUCAAAGGUGGACAUUGGACAUAUUCCUGUAUACGUAUUUAGUCGCUUUCUUUUUGUCGAAGCACUAUUUAUUUCUAUUGAGAAUGCGGAGUUUAAACUACUAGCUAUGCUCAUUAUACUUAGUGCUAACAUGCGCUUAGCACUACUGGUCUUUGCAACAGAGAAAUAACAGAAAGUUGUUUGAGUAGCAGCCUCAUCUUGGAUAGUAGGCAUCUUGGAUAGUAGGCUCCCGGGACACGAUCAACAAUUUUUUUGACAAAGUAGAAGGAUAGAUCAGCUAAGGAAGGCUUAUGGAGGUUAUCUAUUAUGGCGUGCCGUUUGUAUCAAUAAUGAGUUGUUGACAAUCAUAGAGUGUGCGCAUGUGUGUUUGGUGUGCGCAUGCGCAAGCAUGAUUAAGCACAUGCAUCUACCUCUGGCCUUGAGAGCAGUGUGCUAUGAUCUACCUCUCUUCUUUGCCUUGAGCAGUGUGCUAUAUAGAUCUAGUAUCAGUAAUGGCGCGAGAGUUAUAGAGAAAAAUCGAAAUUGUAGAAGAAGAGUUUAAGAGAGGUAAGUGCUAUAAGCUAAGAAUUUAUCUUUUCCUGUCUGCAGGAGAACUCACUGAAUUUGGGUAUAGAAAACGAAAAAUUGCACUUUCCAAAGAAGUCCUUACUAAGGAACUAGAAGAAGGUGAAAUUACGGAAGAGGGAUUCAGAAGGAAGGUUGCUCGCUUGGACCAACAGUGGACCCUCAAAAAGUGCUGAAGAUAUCGGAAAAGAGUUGAGUAAUGUCAAUCCCAGCAUAAAGAGCAAAAUUAGUGAAUUGUUGAGCCCCAAGAAAGCCAGGGUUCGUUCCUGUAGUGACCCCAGAGGUUAAGGCUGGAGUUAGAAAGUUCCAUCGCAAACAAGUCACAGCUGUUUGUGUGGACCAAAACACAUAAGUUGUCUCUUAUGUUUCCCGAAUAUUUGAAGGUAACUGGCUCUAAGGAUUUGAUACCUGCUGAUUUGUCUCAAUGUGGAUGUUGUCUCAGUGUGGAUGUGUAUUGGACAUUGUCGAUGGAGGUGAAUUGAAAGAAGAAAAAUGUAAUAAACUCGAUUAAGAGUCUUGGCACAAGUAAUCAAAGCAGGUACAUGUAGGCAUUACUUUCGUAUUAUAUAAUUAUAAAAUAAAUUUUUUAGUGUUGAAGAGCUACAUGAUAUUUCUUUAGAGAGCAUUCUAACAGGGCACCAGUGUAUGUGCCUUGAUGUAUCUUUUAAAAAAAGAAAAACUUUGCUGUACAAGGAGAGGCAGUGGCAUCGAUGGCGACAGGCUGGUGAUGAAACGCUGGUGAUGAAACUGAAUUGGAAUCUAUCAUUGAACAUAGAGAUUAUGUUGAAGUCUCUACAAAACAGAUGGAUGAGUUUAAAAAAACACGUUUCUCUCCAGGCACUCUAAAACUACCGUGCUGCAAAUUGCUUGAAUAUUAUAUGCAUUGUGUGCCUGGAUUGUUGAACUUCGAAGUAACCCAAACUAUGUCUUUAAAUAAAUACUGAUGUCCGUUAUUAAUUUUUGGGUGUUCAUUAUUCUGAGCAUCGAUGGUGCUGUAUCUAUAACAAUUCUUUGUACGCAAUCACAUUAUAAUUGGUCAAAAUUAAAUAAAAAUUAAUGCCAUGAUUACACAGGAUGCAAGCAAUACAAGCAAUAAUUAACAUUAAACAUGAAUGUAUAGUCUCAAGCUCACUAAAAAAGAUAUAGUGAUAUUAUUGUUCGAGCAGCUCCUCAACAGCAGAUAGAGUGUUAACAUAUAUAUCGAUACCAUAUUGCUCACUGUCAGCUACAGGAUCAAUCAGGGAGUUAAGGAUCUCAAUACAGUUUUCUGGUAACCCUAUUCCAAUGUGAGGUACAUUAACACCGAUUGAGUCAGGUACUGGAGUAACAAUUAGUAGUCAUCUGUAACAACGUUGGUUCCUUUGUAUCUUCCUUUGGUAAAUAGUUUUAUUGGGGUAUAGCCUGCAGUUUUACUAAUGCAAUGGUUAUUCCAACCAUUUAUGAACGAUUCCAAUGCUUUGUUUAUUCGAGGAAUAAAUACAAAAUGCAAGGCAUAUAGAUGAACAGCAUUUAAUGGAUUCAACAGCUCACACCGCUCCAUGUAGUGGUGAUACAAUUGGGUUACUGCUAGGAAUACACAGUCUCUCUAUCCUUGAUUAUGGACACUUGAUUAUGGACACUUGCUCCAACAAGGAGCAACUUCAAUAUUUUCUAAUCCCUGAUCUGAACGGACACGAGACGGUAUACUAUAUUGCUUUACCGCUU